GGAUGUGAGGGCAAUCUGGCUGCAACAUGUCACCCCAUUGACCGCCAGGGUUGAUUCGGCUGCUCUGGCUGGCUAGAUGGGUGUCCCCUUCCUCCCUCACCCUUCCACGUGCGUUCCUCCUUAAGCUGUGAGCUUGGUCGAAGAGGACAGCCUUCUCCAAUAGAGAUGGACAGGUCUCAGUUGAGAGUCUGUGAGUAGCUGCGCUCCCCUGCUAGAACCUCCAAACUCUCAAGAGCUAUGAAAGACUCAUGGUCCAGGAGGUGGUGCAGUGGAUAAAGCACUGGACUCUCAGGUAUGAGGUCCUGAGUUCAAU
This 313-nucleotide small nuclear RNA is filed under the name Erinaceus europaeus (western European hedgehog). RNAcentral describes it as "7SK RNA". It matches the Rfam family "7SK RNA". From Rfam's summary of the family: 7SK was discovered as an abundant small nuclear RNA in the mid-70s but a possible function has only recently been suggested. Two independent studies have found that 7SK RNA binds the CDK9/cyclin T complex (known as elongation factor P-TEFb). Lineage: Eukaryota; Metazoa; Chordata; Mammalia; Eulipotyphla; Erinaceidae. The record is from Rfam by way of RNAcentral.